GUUGGGUAUGGUGGCACAUGCCUGUAAUCCCAGAAACUUGGCAGACUAAGGCAGGAAGAUUGCAAGUUUGAGGCCAGAUCUGGCAAUUUAGCAAGACCUUCAGCAAUGUAGCAAGUCCCAGUCUCAA
RNAcentral lists this small RNA (127 nucleotides) under Marmota monax (woodchuck). Lineage: Eukaryota; Metazoa; Chordata; Mammalia; Rodentia; Sciuridae. The record is from RNAcentral.